This is a long non-coding RNA of Sinocyclocheilus grahami, 2337 nucleotides long. The record is from Ensembl. Lineage: Eukaryota; Metazoa; Chordata; Actinopteri; Cypriniformes; Cyprinidae.
CAGAGGGGUUAGAUGUAUCCAUGUUAUUAUUCCAUUUUUAGGCUGUUUAUCGGUGCAAGGGGCUCUAUGAAGAGAGAGGUUGAGCUGAGGACCCCUCAUACUGCCCAGGCAGGGACAGCCAUCACCCUGACUCUGACUGUUCAGGCAGAAGACUUACCAGACUCAAAUUAUGCUGUGGUACAUCUGACAGUGAUACCCGAGGAGCCUGACAAAAUGCCUCCGGCAUGUUCUUCCCUGCAAGUGGAGUCCUCCUGCCCCUCUCUGUGCUCUCAGGGCCACUGGAAAGUCUCACUUGUAGCAAAAGACAGAGGUCACUCUGGACUGGCAUCCAUUCAGCUGGCACAAGGAGAAGGCACUCUCAUUCUGUCUGAAGUGACUAUGCAGAGAGGUGAAGAACAUUUCCCACAGAAUCAUGAAGAGAACACAGGAGCAGUACACCUUCCAUUGCUACAGCCACAAAAGGACACCUCAGAACAGCACUUUGGAACAGAAGCUGAACAUGGACGUCAAAGGCUGGACGGAGUCCAGUUAUUGAAGUGGGAUCGUCCAGUAAAUAUCAGUGAAUGGACUAAGGGGAAACCCGUAAUGAUGCGUUAUUCCUCAGGCUGCUGUGGCCCUCAUGCAGAGAUAGUGCUGUGGGAUAAAGCGGGUAAUAUGAGACGCUGUCAUCUCAAAGCCAGUCAGCAAAGGGCUUUACGAGAAAACAACAGGGCGCACAGUGGGGUAUCUAUUUCUCGACUACUUCUCAUGUUGUGGGGCCACUUAACAUGGAGUACUAUCUAUGACCAUAGAUGAAAUUUGCUUGACUUAUUAUGCAACUCUGUGUGGACACGAGAGUACAUAGCAUGCUUAAAUACUAGUACACAGAAAACAAGAAAUGUUACUCAGGGACGUUAUAUUCUAUAAAUGUUUAGGUCUUCACAGGAUAUUUGUAUUAUUCUGUCAGAAUUUUUGUACAAACAAAAACUUUUAAACAAGUAAAUCUAAUAUAAUGAUUUCAAGUUUUCACAAUUAAUAACAUGCCAAACUGAGUGUUGUGUGCAAUCCACUUUUUAUUUUAGAUGCCAUAAAACUUCUCUGUUUUUACAUGUCUGGCAUAUGUCUGUUCUUACCUCUUGGUUUUUAGUAUAAAACAAUGGUCCAGAGAAAGAAAAUGAAGGUUACAGUCCCACUGGACAACACCACAAUAUUUAUGGGUAGGAAAUCCCAGGGUACUCCGGAAAUCAGGUUAAGCGGCUUAACCGGGUAAAUUUACUCGGAGUAAACUGAUAACCUUAACUGGAUUAUCUGGAUUGACCAAACUAAUUCCAGACCACGUUUUUGGAACAGGGAGUAACUAAAGAUUUGGGGUAAUCAAUCAAGAGUUCAGGGAUUAUAUCAGGGUUUCUCAAUCGACCAGUGUAGGCCUAUAGACUGAGUGAAUGAUUCAUGAAUGACUACGGUGCAACAAGUCCAAAUGACAAGAGUCCAAAUGAUUCACUGGUAGGAGUUGCUUACUUUUAUUGAAUCAAACAUUAAAUCAGUUUAAGCAGUUAGUGAAUUAAUCAUUGAACCACAAAUUAUUACCUCAUUGCAUCUUUCCUCAUGACUCAAAAUGAAACAAGAACUCAUGUUGCAUAUAAAAACACUGAGAUAUAAACCAGUGACAAUUUUUGUUGUAUGCAGGGGUAAGACCAAAGAGCCAGGGUGACUGAAACCAAGGUUUAAGAGUGUCUAUAACAUGCACACCACUAUGACAACGACACUCCAAACACUUAUAUUAGUAGCUUUAAGGGUAGCUCAGAAAACAAUGUAGAGUUUCCUCUCUCAGGUGUAGCUUUGGAAAGCCUAAUUCAUUCUAGCAAAUAGUUUUUUCCUAAAUGGUUCUCUCUCAUACUGUAUGUAGCUUUUGAAAUGUUGACGUAUUCUAGUGAAUUGUUUCAUCCAAACGGUCCUGUAAAUAAACAGAUUACAAAAUUAUUGGACGAUGAUUUGAUGACUGAUUUGAGUCCCUAUAUGGCAUUCCAGCUCUCACCUGAUUCAAUUCAUCAGCUCAUUAAUAGAAACUCCAAGAACUGAAAUGAAUGGGUCAGAUCGGGGAGAUAUGCAAAAUAAGUACUGUUCAUGUGUCCCUGGGAACAGGCUUGUAGAAUACUAUACUCAAAAUAGCUUGACUGUGGUUUAACUACUUUGAAUUGCAAGAAUAGGGACUUUGAAAGGAGACAAAGACCAAGAUCCACCAUACUUCACCACAGAAACUAAGGAAUAUCUUCACUUGGAGAUUUCUGGCUUUGCCACCAUUGGCAUGUAUGUAAAUGUGCAUUUAUUUAUUUUAUUAAUGUAUUUAUUUAUUUUUUC